AACGAACGUUGGCGGCGUGGAUUAGGCAUGCAAGUCGAACGCGAAAGGGUAGCAAUACCCGAGUAAAGUGGCGAACGGGUGAGUAACGCGUAGGAAACCUGCCUUCGAGUGGGGGAUAACAUUCCUAACGGGGUGCUAAUACCGCAUGAAACUGCGGGAUCGCAUGGUUCUGCAGUCAAAGGUGGCCUCUAUUUAUAAGCUACCGCUCAAAGAUGGUCCUGCGUCCCAUUAGCUAGUUGGCGGGGAACGGCCCACCAAGGCAUCGAUGGGUAGCCGAUCUGAGAGGAUGACCGGCCACACUGGGACUGAGAUACGGCCCAGACUCCUACGGGAGGCAGCAGUCGGG
RNAcentral lists this ribosomal RNA (346 nucleotides) under uncultured bacterium. Its description in RNAcentral is "bacterial SSU rRNA". It matches the Rfam family "Bacterial small subunit ribosomal RNA", at positions 29 to 359 of the family's 1533-position model. The record is from RNAcentral.